This 503-nucleotide ribosomal RNA is filed under the name uncultured Nostocoides sp. RNAcentral describes it as "bacterial SSU rRNA". It matches the Rfam family "Bacterial small subunit ribosomal RNA", at positions 8 to 527 of the family's 1533-position model. Lineage: Bacteria; Bacillati; Actinomycetota; Actinomycetes; Micrococcales; Intrasporangiaceae. The record is from RNAcentral.
AGGGUUUGAUCAUGGCUCAGGACGAACGCUGGCGGCGUGCUUAACACAUGCAAGUCGAGCGAUGAAGCACCUUCGGGUGUGAAUUAGCGGCGAACGGGUGAGGAACACGUGAGAAAUCUGCCUUCAACACUGGGAUAACUCCGGGAAACCGGGGCCAAUACCGGAUAUGAAACCUGCGGGCAUCCGCGGGUUUGGAAAGUUUUUCGGUUGAAGAUGAUCUCGCGGCCUAUCAGCUUGUUGGUGAGGUAAUGGCUCACCAAGGCGACGACGGGUAGCCGGCCUGAGAGGGCGACCGGCCACACUGGGACUGAGACACGGCCCAGACUCCUACGGGAGGCAGCAGUGGGGAAUAUUGGGCAAUGGAGGAAACUCUGACCCAGCGACGCCGCGUGCGGGAUGAAGGCCUUCGGGUUGUAAACCGCUUUCAGCAGGGAAGAAGCGAAAGUGACGGUACCUGCAGAAGAAGCACCGGCUAACUAUGUGCCAGCCGCCGCGGUAAUACA